This 458-nucleotide ribosomal RNA is filed under the name uncultured bacterium. RNAcentral describes it as "bacterial SSU rRNA". It matches the Rfam family "Bacterial small subunit ribosomal RNA", at positions 29 to 484 of the family's 1533-position model. The record is from RNAcentral.
AACGAACGCUGGCGGCGCGCCUAAUACAUGCAAGUCGAACGAGAAGGUGUAGCAAUACACUUGUACAGUGGCGAACGGGUGAGGAAUGCAUGGGCAACCUACCCUCGAGUGGGGAACAACCAGCCGAAAGGUUGGCUAAUACCGCGUACGCUUCCGGGUCUCCGGAUCCGGAAGGAAAGUCACACCGUGGGUGUGACGCUCAAGGAUGGGCUCAUGUCCUAUCAGCUUGNGGUGAGGUAACGGCUCACCAAGGCAACGACGGGUAGCUGGUCUGAGAGGACGAUCAGCCACACUGGCACUGCGACACGGGCCAGACUCCUACGGGAGGCAGCAGUAAGGAAUAUUGCGCAAUGGGCAAAGCCUGACGCAGCGACGCCGCGUGGGGGAUGAAGGUCUUCGGAUUGUAAACCCCUUUUAGGAGGGAAAUGGACGAGCAAUCGUCCGGAUGGUACCUCCAG